RNAcentral lists this ribosomal RNA (492 nucleotides) under uncultured bacterium. RNAcentral's name for it is "partial 16S ribosomal RNA". It matches the Rfam family "Bacterial small subunit ribosomal RNA", at positions 29 to 507 of the family's 1533-position model. The record is from RNAcentral.
AGUGAACGCUGGCGGUAGGCCUAACACAUGCAAGUCGAACGGCAGCACAGUAAGAGCUUGCUCUUACGGGUGGCGAGUGGCGGACGGGUGAGGAAUACAUCGGAAUCUACUUUUUCGUGGGGGAUAACGUAGGGUAACUUACGCUAAUACCGCAUACGACCUACGGGUGAAAGCAGGGGAUCUUCGGACCUUUCGCGAUUGAAUGAGCCGAUGUCGGAUUAGCUAGUUGGCGGGGUAAAUGCCCACCAAGGCGACGAUCCGUAGCUGGUCUGAGAGGAUGAUCAGCCACACUGGAACUUAGACACGGUCCAGACUCCUACGGGAGGCAGCAGUGGGGAAUAUUGGACAAUGGGCGCAAGCCUGAUCCAGCCAUACCGCGUGGGUGAAGAAGGCCUUCGGGUUGUAAAGCCCUUUUGUUGGGAAAGAAAAGCAGCAGGUUAAUACCCCGCUGUUCUGACGGUACCCAAAGAAUAAGCACCGGCUAACUUCGUG